GUUCUCACAUCAUCAGGACAUAUAUUAAAAUCGGAACAACACAGAGAUUAGUAUAGCUCCUGCACAACAGUGACACACAAAUUUGUGAAGCAUUCCAUAUUUUU
RNAcentral lists this small nuclear RNA (104 nucleotides) under Sciurus vulgaris (Eurasian red squirrel). The record is from RNAcentral. Lineage: Eukaryota; Metazoa; Chordata; Mammalia; Rodentia; Sciuridae.